AUGGAGAGGGUGGUGAUGAGGCUGGUGAGGAACAAGCAGUCCCUCCGCCAGCUGCAAGGGGCCGCCGCCGGCGGCCUAGCGUCGUCGUCCUCCGCCUCCUCGACCGCCGGCGCCGCCGCGUCCUCCUUCUCCACCCUGCAGCAGCAGCAGGAGGACCACCCCGGAGUGCUCAACAUCAGGGACACCGCCGCCCACCUCAUCGGCCGGACGCCGCUGGUGUACCUGAACAAGGUGACGGAGGGGUGCGGCGCCCGCGUCGCCGCCAAGCUCGAGUUCCUCCAGCCUUCCUUCAGCGUCAAGGACAGGCCAGCAAUCUCCAUGAUCGAAGACGCGGAGAAGAAGGGGCUGAUAACCCCAGGCAAGACGACGCUGAUCGAGCCCACAUCCGGGAACAUGGGCAUCGGCCUGGCGUUCAUGGCAGCACUCAAAGGGUACGAGCUCGUGCUGACGAUGCCAUCAUACACCAGCCUCGAGAGGAGGGUGGUCAUGAAGGCCUUCGGUGCGCAGCUCGUGCUCACUGACCCGGCCAAGGGGAUGGGAGGCACCGUCAGGAAAGCAACCCAGCUCUAUGAGAACCAUCCCAGCGCCUUCAUGCUCCAGCAGUUCGAGAAUCCCGCCAACGUCCAGGUGCACUACGAGACUACCGGUCCGGAGAUAUGGGAGGACACGCUCGGGCAGGUCGACAUCUUCGUCAUGGGAAUCGGCAGCGGCGGCACCGUCACCGGCGUCGGCAAGUACCUCAAGGAGAAGAACCCCAACGCAAAGAUCUAUGGAGUUGAACCUGCCGAAGCAAAUGUCCUGAACGGUGGCAAGCCAGGGCCUCACCUCAUCACUGGAAAUGGAGUUGGAUUUAAGCCAGAUAUUUUGGAUAUGGAUAUAAUGGAGAAGGUUCUAGAGGUGAAAAGCGAGGACGCCGUUACGAUGGCGCAACAGUUGGCACUGCAGGAGGGCCUGCUGGUGGGGAUAUCAUCAGGAGCCAACACAGUGGCUGCGAUCGAACUCGCAAAGAGGCCAGAAAACAAAGGGAAGCUCAUCGUGACUGUUCAUCCGAGCGCGGGAGAGCGAUACUUAUCGUCGGCGCUAUUCGAGGGUCUGAGGAAGGAGGCUGAGGCAAUGCAGCCAGUGCCAGUGGACUAA
This 1137-nucleotide ribosomal RNA is filed under the name Triticum aestivum (bread wheat). RNAcentral's name for it is "partial small subunit ribosomal RNA". Lineage: Eukaryota; Viridiplantae; Streptophyta; Magnoliopsida; Poales; Poaceae. The record is from RNAcentral.